This 488-nucleotide ribosomal RNA is filed under the name uncultured bacterium. RNAcentral's name for it is "bacterial SSU rRNA". It matches the Rfam family "Bacterial small subunit ribosomal RNA", at positions 28 to 530 of the family's 1533-position model. The record is from RNAcentral.
GAUGAACGCUGACAGAAUGCUUAACACAUGCAAGUCAACCCGAGAGUACUUCGGUACUGAUAGGGUGGCGCACGGGUGAGUAACACGUGAAUAACCUGCCCUCAAGACUGGGACAACUACUCGAAAGGGUAGCUAAUACCGGAUAAGCUCACGACACCACAUGGUGUAGGGAGAAAAGCUAUAUGCACUUGAGGAGGGGUUCGCGUCCCAUUAGCUAGUUGGUGAGGUAAAGGCUCACCAAGGCGACGAUGGGUAGCCGGCCUGAGAGGGUGGACGGCCACAAGGGAACUGAGACACGGUCCUUACUCCUACGGGAGGCAGCAGUGGGGAAUAUUGGACAAUGGGCCACGAGCCUGAUCCAGCAAUUCUGUGUGGGUGAUGACGGUCUUAGGAUUGUAAAGCCCUUUCAGUGGGGAAGAAGAAAGUGACAGUACCCACAGAAGAAGCCACGGCUAACUACGUGCCAGCAGCCGCGGUAAUGUCUGUAC